GCUGGCGGCACGCCUAACACAUGCAAGUCGAACGAACUAGCAAUACUUAGUGGCAGACGGGUGAGUAACAUGUGGGUAUCUGCCCUUUGGCCUGGAAUAACACGAGGAAACUUGUGCUAAUACCGGAUAAGUCUUUACGGAGAAAGCUUUAUGCACCAUUGGAUGAGCCCGCACUUGAUUAGUUUGUUGGUGGGGUAAUGGCCUACCAAGACUGUGAUCAAUAGCUGAUUUGAGAGGAUGAUCAGCCACAUUGGGACUGAGACACGGCCCAAACUCCUACGGGAGGCAGCAGUGGGGAAUCUUGCACAAUGGAGGAAACUCUGAUGCAGCGAUGCCGCGUGAGUGAAGAAGGCCCUUGGGUUGUAAAGCUCUUUCGUCGGGGAAGAAAAUGACUGUACCCGAAUAAGAAGGUCCGGCUAACUUCGUGCCAGCAGCCGCGGUAAUACGAAGGGACCUAGCGUAGUUCGGAAUUACUGGGCUUAAAGAGUUCGUAGGUGGUUGAAAAAGUUAGUGGUGAAAUCCCAGAGCUUAACUCUG
This 537-nucleotide ribosomal RNA is filed under the name uncultured Pseudomonadota bacterium. RNAcentral describes it as "bacterial SSU rRNA". It matches the Rfam family "Bacterial small subunit ribosomal RNA", at positions 35 to 617 of the family's 1533-position model. Lineage: Bacteria; Pseudomonadati; Pseudomonadota. The record is from RNAcentral.